GGGGACGUAGCUCAGUUGGUAGAGCGCUUGAAUGGCAUUCAAGAGGUCAGGGGUUCGAUUCCCCUCGUCUCCAC
RNAcentral lists this transfer RNA (74 nucleotides) under compost metagenome. RNAcentral's name for it is "tRNA-Ala". It matches the Rfam family "tRNA". Rfam says of the family: Transfer RNA (tRNA) molecules are approximately 80 nucleotides in length. Their secondary structure includes four short double-helical elements and three loops (D, anti-codon, and T loops). The record is from RNAcentral.